AUUAAGUGACCUGAAUCCUUAUUUAAAUUAAAUACAGUGGUAAAAUAAAAUAAAAGUAAAAUUUCUAUAAAAUUAUAGGUCUUUUAUUUUAUUUUAGAAUAAGGUUCUUUUUAAAACCUUAUUAAACUCCAUCUAUUUGAUAUUGAUUAGAAUAAAGAGUUUCAGUCCUAUUAGAAUAAGGUUUUACAAGCCUAUAAAUAGACAUAGUCUAUUUCUCUUGUAAUGAAUUCGAAUUCGACAUAGUAAAUUUUUUUCUCCUCU
RNAcentral lists this long non-coding RNA (261 nucleotides) under Gossypium barbadense (sea-island cotton). Its description in RNAcentral is "long non-coding RNA (GBAR_LNC015548)". The record is from RNAcentral. Lineage: Eukaryota; Viridiplantae; Streptophyta; Magnoliopsida; Malvales; Malvaceae.